RNAcentral lists this long non-coding RNA (1792 nucleotides) under Sus scrofa (pig). Its description in RNAcentral is "lncRNA (ENSSSCG00045025788.1)". The record is from RNAcentral. Lineage: Eukaryota; Metazoa; Chordata; Mammalia; Artiodactyla; Suidae.
CUAAGACAUUUUUCCUUUUCAUAUUUGAACUUUUCUGAAAUCAAGGUAUAUCUUCAAGUGAUGCCCCUUCAUAAAUACUUAGCAGUACUUUCUCAAGUCUGUAUGAAAGCACUGUGGGUCCUACACGUCAAAGACAAGCUUUCUAGUCCGCAAACUGCAGUGGCUCUCAUUGGCCCAAGCACAUCACGUGUCUCUCACCCGCCAAUCACUGCAACUCUGGUUGGGAAGCCAUAGGCUCAUCUCUGGUGUUAACUGGUUGGAGUCAGCAUCACCUAAGCAAAAGGAGCGACAGAGGAAUGGCAGUUUCUGAGAGGAAAAUCAGAGUGUCACUGCCCCCCGGAGAGAUGGCUGUGGAUUCCCGGCAGGCAGAAACAACUGCUGCCUCCUCUGCUCAGAGUCAUUCCGGAAUUCGGAAAUUCUGGCCACCUGCAGUGUGCAAAGGCAGCUGGCCAGGCAAGGAAGCUGGCGCCAGGUCCCAGGGCCCCUCCCUGGAGGGAGCAAAGGCCUCUCGGGUUGCAGCUGCAGAAAGAGGGAGGAGAGAAGAGGGACAGGAUGGAGUGGAGAGCCUUGGAGGCAGUGGUUUGGACAUCAACUCGGUCCUGAGGUUGUCAAGUUUAAUCCUCAACUCCUGAAAGUUCCCAGAAGCAGCCAUUUUUUUUUUUUUUUUUUUUUUUGCAUUGUUCUGUUCCGGGAGCUACGAACUCAAGUGUCUACAGAACAUGUCAGAUAGCAUAAACAAGAGAAGUGGCCAAGGCUAAUAAAGAUCAUUCAGCUCUCUUGGUCUGGCUUUUGCUUUCUCACUUUUGACAGAGACAUGAAAGCAGAGGAAUAGUUCUUACUAUAAAAAUGCACACACAGUACAGUCAGUGAUGGGGGCAAGUGACACUCAUCCUUGGUUGGGGAGCAGUAGACUGUGGGUGGUGACUGUGGCACACCUCCUACCAGCCAGUUUGCUGUUUUGCAGAAAUCUGGCCCAGUGUGGCCAGAAAUUACCAUUUUUAAAGAGAAGCUGGAAAUCCAGAUUUGUAUGUGGUGUCUCCCAAUUUUUUAAGUUUGACAAUUAUUUUACAAAAUUGAAGUCUGGUUGAUUUACAAUGGUAUGUUAGUUUCAGGCGUGUGGCAAAGUGAUUCCAUUAUAUAUCUGUUCUUUUUCAGAUUCUUUUUCAUUAUAGGUUAUUACAGGAUAUUGAAUACAGGUCCCUGUGUUAUACAGUUUAUCUAUUUUUAUGUAGAGUAGUAUUUAUCUGCUAAUCCUAGAUUCCUAAUUUAUCCCUCCCCUCCCUUUUCCCUUUGGUAACCAUAAGUUUGCUUUCGAUGUCUAUGAGUGUAUCAUAGUUUUAGAUUCCACAUAUAUGUGAUAUCAUAUGCUUUUUGUCUUUUACUGUCUUGCUUCACUUAGUAUGAUAAUCUCUAGGUCCAUCCACGUUGCUGCAAAUGACAUUAUUGCAUUCCUUUGAUGGCUGAGUAAUAUUCCAUUAUAUAUGUAUGUAUACCACAUCUUUAUCCAUUUCUCUGUCACUGGGCAUUUAGGUUGCUUCCAUGUCUUGACUGUUGUAAAUCAUGCUGCAACAAACAUUGGGGCAUAUGUAUUUUUUUAAAUUAGUGUUUUCUCCAUAUAUACGCCCAGGAGUGGGAUUGCUGGAUCAUGUGGUAACUCUAGUUUUAGUUUUCGAAGGAGCCUCCAUCCUAUUCUCUGUAGUGGCCACACCAAUUUACAUUCCCAUCAACAGUGUAGGAGGGGUCCCUUAGUUCCACACUUUCUCCAACAUUAUUUACUCUUUGAUGAUGGCCG